UUACUUUGAGAAGUCCGUGCAACAUCUAGUUUCUCCCUCUUCUUUCUCUGUCUCUCUGUCUCCUUCUCCCUCUCCCUCCCUCUCUCCCUCCCCCCUUUCCUCCCACCUCCCUCCCUCUUUCUUCCACCCUCCUUCUCCCCCUCCCUUCGCAGAGCCUCAGGAAAAGAAGAAUGUCGGCUUCGACUGCCAUCUUUUGGGGAUUUGGAAAAACGACUCGGUAGUGCCUUCCUCAGUCUCUUGGGGCAUACUUCUUUCCGGAUCUGGCACAAACUACCCCGCAGGGCUUAAAGACAUGCUGAUGACAGAUGAUGAAGGUGGCUAAUCAUUUAGAAAACAUGUCAAAGAAGAAUAUAUGUUAAGAAAGAGAGACGGAUGGAUAAGACCAGAAGCAUCACUGAAGUCAUCGUGAGUCUCUAAUUCUUGAUCUGGUUUGCUGCUCAACCGAAAUGAAAUUUAGUUCACGAGUCAUUUUCUUUGUUGGUUUUGUGUAGAAAAUGCUUAGAAUUACCCUGAUAUCAUGAACAUUUAGGUCUGGUACUGAGAGGCACGCAAGUAUGACAGGACUAAAUUAUCAAAAUGUAUGCGCCGGGGGAAACCAAAAUAGGUUUUUGCGGUUUUCAUUAGCACAGGUCAUAUUAAUUUAAUUAACAUGAUUGAAGAUAAUAUCACUGGGUGAGGCAGCAGAUACCUAGCCUUGACCUAUUACUCACCCGUAGGCUAUAAAGUGAUGCAUCUGACAAACGGGUGUGCGAGCUCAUACAUUUAGUAUUUGGAAUCGGGCUUUUGUUAGGGGUUUCCCUACAGCUUUAGGGUAUGUUUGGAGCUUCCAUCAGAGGAAAUUCUUGGUGCUUUUCAAAACUCACCACCACAAACAGCAUUUUCAAUAUGGAGUGAAUGUUUGUGUCAUAGUUAUAAUUUGUGCAAUUGGGACCUUCAUCUAUUGUUUCCCCUGCUGUGAUCACUGUCCUUUUAUCCAGCUCUUCUUUAGGCUGGAAUCUUCUAAACUGCCUGUGGUUCUAGUCAGGGCUCCGAAUCCUGAUCGCCUUGUUCUGGCCACAGGUGUGGGCGUAGGGCCCAUGAGGGCUAAUUAAUUGCCCUUUUCAGAAUUUGUUCUGCUGGAAAUAAGAGGAUGGUCCUGUGGCAAACGAGUUGUCUACCCAAUAUCUAUUCCCCCUUUUCCUUAUAAACAAAGUCCCAUCUUUUUUUUUUGAAUGAGAUUAUUCCCAGUUGAAAAUACCCAUCUCCUCACACUGUCCUGGAACCACAGAUGUUCUUGGCCAAUGGGAUAUAAAUGAAAGUCGACUGUGUGGGGAAAAUUUCUGAAAAAUUAUUGUCCUGGUGAAAGGGGUCAUACUCAGCUGACAAGUGACUUUUGCCCUUACUCCUUUUCCUUCUGGUCAAAACACAAUGAAGUCAUAAGCCUGCUAAGAACAAUGGAGUAGGACUUGGGAGGACAUUGAAUCAUUGAGAACAUCUCAAGUGGCUGGCUGCACCAGCCUUGGUCUGCUCACCUUAUAAUUCUUGCUAUGUCAGGAAAAGAAAACCUCUUUUUAGUUAUGCUACUAUGUGUGAGUUGCUGCUACAUAUUUUAUUUUACUGAUUUAUUUUAUUUUACUUUAUUUUAUGUCAUACCUUGGAUAUGGUCCUUUCCCUACAUUAUUGCCGCUUAUGGAGAUGGUCAAUCUGAGAAAAUGAAAUCAAUUCACACAUAUACACACACACAAGAGUCAAGAGACCAAUAGGUCUAGAUCCUCAUGUUUCUUGUGUCCAGAAUUUCUCUGCAGCUGGGGCCUGUAUCAUAUGAGCCAGUGGAAUCUCGUGCUGCUGAAGUUUCUUAAAGUUUGGUUCCUGUCCCUUGCAAAUAAGAGAACUCCUGGAGAUAUGAAAAUAAAAACAAACAUACUCUCCAUGCAGCAAAUAUCCCAAACCUAUUAUAGCCUCCCUGAGCUCCUUAUUUGCUGGGAUAGGAAGGAAGAAUUUGGGUUCUUGACUUGAUGCUAUUUGUUUAGGGGCUUUGGAAUGUCACCUAAGGUUUUUCAAUCUCAGUUCCCUCAUCUUCAAUAAGGGAAAUGAACUAGAUGACCCCUAAGAUCCUUUCAGUUCCAAAUGACUAUAAUUCCAUGCGAAUUUUCCACAGUAUGGGCCAGAAGCUAAGUAUAGAAUAUACAAAUCAAUUAAAAAGAAAUAUACAUAGGAGUUCCUGCUGUGGCACAAUGGGAUCCAUGGCAUCUCCAGAGUGCUGUGGCACAGGUUGCAUCCCUGGUGGGCACAGUAGGUUAAGAAUCAGGUGUUGUCACAGCUGCAGUGUAGGUUGCAACUGCAGCUUGGAUCUGAUCCCUGGCCUAGGAACUCCAUAUGCUAUGGGCAGCCAAAAAAAAAAAAAAAAAA
This 2388-nucleotide long non-coding RNA is filed under the name Sus scrofa (pig). RNAcentral describes it as "lncRNA (ENSSSCG00065067175.1)". Lineage: Eukaryota; Metazoa; Chordata; Mammalia; Artiodactyla; Suidae. The record is from RNAcentral.